RNAcentral lists this transfer RNA (66 nucleotides) under Varicospira cancellata. Its description in RNAcentral is "tRNA-Met". The record is from RNAcentral. Lineage: Eukaryota; Metazoa; Mollusca; Gastropoda; Littorinimorpha; Rostellariidae.
UGUAAAAUAAGCUAAAUUAAGCUGUUGGGUUCAUACCCCAGAUAUGAAAUAAUAUUUCUUUUACAA